AGUGAACGCUGGCGGUAGGCCUAACACAUGCAAGUCGAACGGCAGCACAGUAAGAGCUUGCUCUUACGGGUGGCGAGUGGCGGACGGGUGAGGAAUAUAUCGGAAUCUACUUUUUCGUGGGGGAUAACGUAGGGAAACUUACGCCAAUACCGCAUACGACCUACGGGUGAAAGCAUGGGAUCUUCGGACCUUGCGCGAUUGAAUGAGCCGAUGUCGGAUUAGCUAGUUGGCGGGGUAAAGGCCCACCAAGGCGACGAUCCGUAGCUGGUCUGAGAGGAUGAUCAGCCACACUGGAACUGAGACACGGUCCAGACUCCUACGGGAGGCAGCAGUGGGGAAUAUUGGACAAUGGGCGCAAGCCUGAUCCAGCCAUACCGCGUGGGUGAAGAAGGCCUUCGGGUUGUAAAGCCCUUUUGUUGGGAAAGAAAAGCAGCAGGUUAAUACCCCGCUGUUCUGACGGUACCCAAAGAAUAAGCACCGGCUAACUUCGUG
RNAcentral lists this ribosomal RNA (492 nucleotides) under uncultured bacterium. RNAcentral describes it as "partial 16S ribosomal RNA". It matches the Rfam family "Bacterial small subunit ribosomal RNA", at positions 29 to 507 of the family's 1533-position model. The record is from RNAcentral.